AACGCGAAGAACCUUACCUACCCUUGACAUGUACGGAAGCCCGAUGAGAGUUGGGUGUGCCCGAAAGGGAGCCGUAACACAGGUGCUGCAUGGCUGUCGUCAGCUCGUGUCGUGAGAUGUUGGGUUAAGUCCCGCAACGAGCGCAACCCUUGUCAUUAAUUGCCAUCAUUAAGUUGGGCACUUUAAUGAGACUGCCGGUGACAAACCGGAGGAAGGUGGGGAUGACGUCAAGUCCUCAUGGCCCUUAUGGGUAGGGCUUCACACGUAAUACAAUGGCCGGUACAGAGGGCUGCCAACCCGCGAGGGGGAGCUAAUCUCAGAAAGCCGGUCGUAGUCCGGAUUGUUCUCUGCAACUCGAGAGCAUGAAGUCGGAAUCGCUAGUAAUCGCGGAUCAGCAUGUCGCGGUGAAUACGUUCCCGGGCCUUGUACACACCGGCUAC
RNAcentral lists this ribosomal RNA (440 nucleotides) under uncultured bacterium. RNAcentral's name for it is "bacterial SSU rRNA". It matches the Rfam family "Bacterial small subunit ribosomal RNA", at positions 958 to 1397 of the family's 1533-position model. The record is from RNAcentral.